UUUUACUUCUGUAUUUGCAGUUUUGACCGAGAAGAUGAGCAGUUUGCCCGGAGAAGAGAGGAGAUCAGGCAGAGAGCAGAUGAACGGAGGGCGGAGAGGAAGGUGAAACACGACGAGAUCCGCAAGAAGUACGGUCUCAUCCCAGACUCCGAUCAUCCAUUACAGCAAGUUCGAGAACGAGUGAAAGCCACGGACCGGAGACGGAGAUCAGCCUCUCAGACGCCGCUUCUCUUCUCCGUGUUACUCUGAAGACCCGUCCUCUUCCUCCUCGUCCUCCUCGUCACGAUUUCUAACGCUCUCAAAUCAAAACGGUGAAAUGAUAUCAAAGUGAUUGUAGGCCUGAAACGCCGGCGGAUGUCUUCGGUAGAGGCCAGAAUGUAAAAAGAUAAGCUGAUUUAUUUUUAAUCCUCACUAGCAGACAUCUUUUUCUAGUUUCAUGCUAAACUCUGCAUUUUUCAGAAAAACAAGCGUGUCUUGAUUUAAGAAUGUAUGCACGCUCGUUUCCGAAAAGCAAGAUGAAAAUGCUUUUUUGUUGUUGUUGUUGUACAUUUUAAUGCUGUUUCGAUUGUGACUCUGUUUCUCUGCUUUCUUAUAGAGAGUUAAAAGAUGACUUUAUUGUUCUAGAAAUACAGCAUCACACGCACCGCUGUCACGAUGCGUUCAGAUAAUGCUUUUUCCUUUUGGGCC
Puntigrus tetrazona (Sumatra barb) is the source of this 687-nucleotide long non-coding RNA. RefSeq lists it as uncharacterized. The transcript is spliced from 3 exons. Lineage: Eukaryota; Metazoa; Chordata; Actinopteri; Cypriniformes; Cyprinidae. The record is from RefSeq and is a predicted model, not a curated record.